This 307-nucleotide ribosomal RNA is filed under the name uncultured bacterium. Its description in RNAcentral is "bacterial SSU rRNA". It matches the Rfam family "Bacterial small subunit ribosomal RNA", at positions 28 to 295 of the family's 1533-position model. The record is from RNAcentral.
GAUGAACGCUGGCGGCAUGCCUAAGACAUGCAAGUCGAACGAAGUGGUCCAAUGAAGAUUGAGUGCUUGCACGAGAUUGGAUUUGGGUUGCCGCUUAGUGGCGCAAGGGUGAGUAACACGUAGGUAACCUACCUUAGAGACUGGGAUAACAACUGGAAACGGUUGCUAAUACCGGAUGAUAUAUACAAUGAUACGUUGUUGUAUAUUAAAAGGAGCCUUUAAAGCUCUACUUUAAGAUGGGCCUGCGGCGUAUUAGCUAGUUGGUGGGGUAAAGGCCUACCAAGGCGACGAUGCGUAGCCGACCUGA